This is an RNA transcript of Beta vulgaris subsp. vulgaris (sugar beet), 1343 nucleotides long. RefSeq lists it as hypothetical. The transcript is spliced from 4 exons. Lineage: Eukaryota; Viridiplantae; Streptophyta; Magnoliopsida; Caryophyllales; Amaranthaceae. The record is from RefSeq and is a predicted model, not a curated record.
GGUUAGUUGAACAGGCCAACUGGCCAACCCACCAAUGACCUAUGUAUAUACCCAAACUAGGCAACCCACCAAUUUCUGACAACACAGCCCACUUUUAUUCCACAGCAACCAGCAACAGUAACAGAAACCAGAAACACAGCACCCAGAAAUCAGAAUCACAAACCAAAGCAACAAAACAAGUAAGAGAUAGAGAGAAAAAAAAAAAGGAAGUGAUGAACAAUCUCUCACCCUCUUCAUCAAAUGCAGCAACUCACUAUUAUAUUUCUACCCCAAAAACAGCCAUUUUCAUCCUACUUUUUCUUUUUAUAAUUGGAGUUGGUGUUUCACUCUUUAUACUUAUUGAAGUUCACAAUGCUCUCUUCUUAAUUGCUUCUCUUUUACUCUCCGCCAUUGUUUCUGCUCUUCUUUUAUGGAAUGCUGUCUGCUUCCGCCGUAACACCGCCCUCUUGCUCUUCCUUCGCUCUUUCCCUGUUAGCGACCUCCGCCAUGCCUGCCAUGGUCAACUUGUCCACAUUACUGGGUCUCUUGCGCUGAUGUUUGUUUAGAAUCAUCGUAUGAAAAGGUGGGUGGAUGCGUUUACACAUCAACUCUUCUAUAUGAAUAUGAAGGAUUUGGAUUGAAUGCUAAGCAACCUUGCUUUCUCUGGAAAUUAGCCUAUUCUGAGUGAACAAUUUGGAUGGUUCCCCUUUUGCAGAGGUUCUCUACAGACUUCUACAUAUCUGAUAAAAACUCUGGCAUUCGAACUUUGGUAAAAGCUGGAUAUGGAUGUGGACUCAUUCCCCUUAUUGUUGAGAGCAGGCUUGUGUACACAAGAAAAAACAGAAUUCUAUCUCCCAACUUGACAAAAUGGCUGACAGACAGAAAUCUUUCAGCUGAUUCUCGGGUUAUACGCCUUGAAGAAGGCUAUAUAAAAGAAGGUGAUUGUGCUACUGUCAUAGGCAUGCUGCAUAAAGCUGGUGAUGAUAUUGCAAUGAUUGUUCAGCCACCGGAGCUCGUUUCCACUGGCUGUCUGUGGCAAAGACUACUAUAUCCUGUCAAUUUCGAUGGAUUACUGCUCGCUCGCUCCUGAUAUCUCUAAUAAGGCAUCUUCAGCUAUGUUACUCAGACACGGAUUGAGUGUCUACUCGGAUACGGGUGUUCAAGUGUCCGACUCGGCUAUUUUGUAGAAAAAAACUCAAGUAUUUAGUUUAAAAUGAAGUAUCCAAGUAAAGUGUUUUUGAGGUAAAUGAAGGUGUCGGAGUAACACUAAUUUUCAGUGUUCAUGAUGAACUCAACCCAACAGAACUAAUACUGGAAAUUUUGACUUUAACUGUAACCAUAAGUAAUAGGACUGUUGCUGAGAA